AAACUUUCAACAACGGAUCUCUUGGUUCUGGCAUCGAUGAAGAACGCAGCGAAAUGCGAUAAUUAAUGUGAAUUGCAGAAUUCAGUGAAUCAUCGAGUCUUUGAACGCAUCUUGCGCCCUCCGGUAUCCCGGUGGGCAUACCUGUUCGAGCGUCAUU
This 157-nucleotide ribosomal RNA is filed under the name Schismatomma pericleum. Its description in RNAcentral is "5.8S ribosomal RNA". It matches the Rfam family "5.8S ribosomal RNA". From Rfam's summary of the family: 5.8S ribosomal RNA (5.8S rRNA) is a component of the large subunit of the eukaryotic ribosome. It is transcribed by RNA polymerase I as part of the 45S precursor that also contains 18S and 28S rRNA. Lineage: Eukaryota; Fungi; Ascomycota; Arthoniomycetes; Arthoniales; Roccellaceae. The record is from RNAcentral.